UUGUCGCGUGUCGCAUGCUGGCUCAGCCCGAGCUUUAGUUCAAGAGGUGAGGAAGGGGUUGCUGCCUCACUGUAAUCUGACGCAAUUAAUUUUGUGACGUUUUUGUCUGGAAAAAGAAAAAAAUAGAACAGAAGAAGAGCGGUCACCAGGGAGAACGGUUGGGCGGGAAAAGGAAUUCGUUGUGAGAACGGAGCCAUAUUGAACUGUGAGCACGUUUAUGUAACAUCUAUCUGUGGGGAUAUUUCAGGGUACGGACGGAGAAGGGAGGGAGUGGUACUUGGUAGAUGUAGGUGUCCCCUUCUGUCCCCGACCCAUUGUUUUAUAUUCCCUCCCUUGUUGCUUUUAUAUCAUUUGUUUUGUUUUUUGUUUGUUUGUUUCUUUAUUAUUAUUAAAUGUGUAUUUGUAGUGUUCUCACGUGUGCGUGUCGUUUGUUUUGCACUGGAGAGCUAUUGGAUCCGCUGCAAUACGCGACAACCCUAGCAGCAUCGAAAGCCAUAAGUCAAUGGUCCCAUGAAUUUUGUCCCAGAUGACCUCGAAGGUCCGGUUCUUACUGGAUGUCCUAAUAAUAGCAACUACUUUUAGCCAAUGGCAUGCGUACACAGCGACCGUGGCCGCCAUUUUCAAAUUUUGUUUCUAUUCGCCAUAAGUGUUCUCCAGGACAAUUGCAAGCAGCAUUCGACUGUUCAACAACACACUACGUUUAUAUAACUUAUUUAUACUUAAGUAAAUAUACUAUUUAUUUAUUAAUUCCAACCAGCUAGGCAUCCAUGUCCGAAUGCAAUGCAGAAUAUCAAGCUCAUCAGAGAAGGAUUAGAGCACAAGUUAACAAAUACAUGAAAGCGAUAAAUGCAGAAGUUGUCCAGAAAGAAGAAUUAAAGUCGGGCUCAGCAGUUCUGAACCCUAGCAAUUUGAAAAUUCUUUAGUCGUAAUUAAUGAUGCAGAGACUAAGGAGCUGUCAGAAUUUCCUCAAAUAAAUUGCCAUUACGAUUUAUCUGGCGAUAUUUCAUCAGCUGUUAGCAUCCAUACGCGAUCGGGUUCAGCUUCGCAAAAUCUAGAUCAGGAUCAAAACGAAACAGAAGAAAUGGAAUGGAAUUCUUUUGUUGAUUGUUUAGAUCAGGAAGAUCAAAGUGAAUCAGACAGCGACACUGAAUUAUUACAGAAUAGCGAGUGGAUUUCAGAAAACGAUUUGUAUCAGGAUUUAACACUGGGCAAGCCAAUGUAACAUUAUAAUUAGUUCUUUGUCUCAUUUACUGAGUAUUCUACGUAAUUACCAUCCAUCUCUAUGUUGUGUUUAACACCUGCAUUUGAACUAUCAGUGGAAAUAUGCUGUACACAUACAUAAUUUAUUUAUGCUUGCUUUACACAUCUAUUUAACAUCAGGCUUUGCAUAUUUAGGAUCAAAUGCCUACAAACUGCAUGUUUUUUCAGCAGAUGACCUUAUUCCAUGUUGUUGAGGUUUUGGAAGAAGCAGAAGAAAGUUUAAAGAGGCCAUGCAGUAGCUGUAAUUCCAGACAGCUGGCUGCUAGCAUUUUUAAAGAUUCCAGUGGUCGCAAAAUCUGUUUAAGCAGAUGCAAGCUUCAUUAUUAAAGCUAAAACACCAGAUGACUCAUGGCCUAUGCAUCCAGUUCUCCUGCACAAGUCAUUAAGAGAAAGGAAGGAGAUAAAAAGAUGAUACCUGGACUGUUGGAACACUAUAACAGGUAACUACCAAGCAGCUAGCCAAAUCUGCGAGAGACUGAAAGAAAUGUUGGAGGUGGAGAGUGAUGACUCAAAUACUCCCACUCAAACAAAAAGGACACGGAUAACUCCGAUUCGAUUUCGGGAUGCACAGCUAACAGACAGCAAAGGAGAGAAGAAUGCCAAGGAAUCACUAUGUGAUGACUAUUCAAUGCAGCAGUGUCCACCACCAUUGCCAUACUCUCUGCCACUAGUAGUUGUCAGCCCAAGGGUGUCCCCAAGUAGCAGCUAUCAACAAAGUACUAUUUCACCUUUGCCUUCACACCUCCAGCGCUCAUUCUCUGGUUUUUGUCCUGCUAGCAUAGGGACCCACAACCCCUUGGAAGCUCAACUAGAGAAACUUGGGACAGCAGCAACUGUCUCUCCUGGAAGAGAUGAGAGAUGAUAUAAAAGAUGUGAAAAGGAGGCUUGCAAGGAUGGAGAAACAACACCAGGAAAUGGAGGUGACAGGAGGAAAAUUGCCAUAAGGGUUCCAGUUUCCCUUACAGUCUUCAAAGGAUGUUGACCGUCUGGAGUGGGAUUUGAAGACAGACCCGGGAAAACGGACACGCUUGGAAUGCCAUUUGGCGAUGUGUGGAAUAUUCACUUUAAAGCAUGUGGUGAGGAACAUACUAUCGGUGUUAUUUUCAACUGACUUAGCCUGGUGUUAUACAGCUUUAAUGUGUCUGAAAGGGAAGAAGGGACUCAAGAACCACCCCUUUAUUUUACAAACAAUUCAGGAUGCUGCAAGAAAAAGUUAUCCAGAAGUUACAGAUGCUGACCUGCAGGUGCAUAUAUCAACUUGGUUAGCUGGUGCUCAGGAUCGAGAGAAUAGCAGAAGGGAAAGGGCUGAGCACAGCCUGUACAAGUCAGUAAAUUGUUAUGGGGUGGACGAUGAUUAAAGCUGUACAUCUUUACUGCCGAAAAAAAACCUGUUAGGUUUCACAAGAUUUUUUUUUAAUCAGCUAUUUAUAAAAGUACAUUUUAAAUUUGCAUAUUUUUUUUAAAUGGUUGUAGUUAAUACCAGAAGCUUCAAUCCAGCCUGGAACCGUUUAUAUUUAAUUUCAUGGAUUUUAUUUAUUAUAAGAUAUGUCUGUUGAAGCUUAAAUCAAUCCUUUUUGCUCAUCAUUUGAUAUAGUGUCAUAGAUCUUUGAACCUUUUCUUUGGUAAAAAUCUAAUUAGUGUAAAACUGCAAUUUAAUUUGAAUGUUUUGUCAGUGGGUACAUGUUUUUGCUUUUUCUACACCUCAUAAUCAAAUAACUAAUGUCACGAGGAAACAUUUUUUAUGUAUUUAAUUGAGACAGUGCUUCACAAAUUGUAUAUUUUUAAUUAUUUUUUUUUAAUUACCUUGCUUUUUAUUCUUAUUUUCACAGACAUUUCAACUUCAAUAAACGUCAGUAAAAGACAAAUCAUGUUUGUUUGUUUUUUUUUGUGUAACAUUUUGCAUUUUUUUUUUUUUGCGUGUUUUUGCUGGUCUGGCAGAUGAAACUGUAGCUGUGCUGGAGGUGUGUUAAUAUAUGAUAUGGAAUAUAUUCUAUGCUCAUCUUUACAUAAUUACACCAGUCAUGGACACCUUUGUGGUGGCUGUCAUCUCAGCAGAUUGUUUCAUUUGAAGUGAAAAGAAACACAUUGUUUUCAACAUCUUUGCAGCUCUUCCAAGAUUAAACAUUUCACAUUUAACUCACUAAUGGUAAAACAUCCUUAUUUAUCUCACUGAUAGUAAAGAGACUUAUUGAUAUAUUUAACUCACUGAAACUGCUGGUUUUAUUGUUUUUACAGAACGUGAAUGCGAACUCAGUAUUCUACGGUGUUAUGUACAUUCCUAUUGGUCAAUCACCAGUGAUGUGUCCGACUUUUGGACAGCCAGCUGUGUUGUGCUUGUGGCAACGCGGUCUCUGUCAUCCAUGCCAGGUAGUCUAUUGUUCCCACCUUUAUUAACUCCAUGGUUACGGACUUUUACAGUCAGCAACAAGAUAGUCGUCACGUACCAGGGUACUCUUGUUCCUAGCACCCGUAAUAUGCCCGUUUGCACCUGUAAAAGUCGGCUUGCACUUGACCCAGAACACCCAUCCACCUGUCUCAUGCCCCAUUUUUAUGUCUUUACAGUGGGGUCAGCGUCUUUAACGCCCACUGCUGUCAGUGCAACGUCAGCAUAGUGGUUUGUGAGACACGAAUUGAGGUGAACUGCACUUUUGUGACCCGAGAAAGUGGAGUCUUAUAAAGCAAGAUAAAAAAACAAAGCAAACUGCAUAAAUAAUUAUUAACAAAUCAUAACAUAAAAGAAGUGAAAUAUGUUGCUUUGACGGCAGCAUAAAACAAAAUUAAUAUAAGAUAGUCAGAUAGAUGAGACAGAGAGACGAAGAAAGGAAGAGACAGAAUAAACUGUACUGACCUGUAGUCUAGAUGCGGCUUGUAAACCAGAGAGCUACAUACAAGAUGAAAAUCAGGGACCUAUUAGUUCAUUGUUCGUAGAAUGUAUUACAACCUACUCAGGGACCUAGUAUCCGAGACCUUCCUUACAAUACGACUCCUUCUGCAGGUGUUAGCCUGUCCUUGGAGACGAAUACUCUUAGUCCUGUCAUCAACUUUAGAACGGGACUUUGAUUAAAACUUUCUUUUGGUGGUUAUAAUCUUUGGCUGGACAGCUUGGGAUUAAAAAAAAAAAUAAAUGGUAUGCAGUGGUUGACUAGAAACAGAAGAUAUUUAGGGUCACGAUAGGCCGAAGGUAUAGCAGUAGUUUGUGCGAAAUCUGACGUUCAUCAGGACAAACUGUAAGUAAUCAAUUUGUGAAUUUUAAUAUAGGGCAUGGGCUGCAAAAAAAAAAAAAAAAAAAGAAAAAACAAACAAAACAACAACAACAAAAAACAAAACAAAACAAAAGACAAAACAAAAAACAGAUAACAAUAUACCAGUCCAAACUUUUGACCAGUAACACGUUGAAUUAUAAUUUUUACGUCUGUUUUACAAUGCAGACACGAGCAUAUGAAAAAAUUCUAUUAUUCCAUGUGUUGAAUGUUUUUUCCCCCUUGGCUUCUGUUCAAGCAGCCUAUGACAAAAACAAUGGUGUACUUAAAAAAAAAUUAUAAUCAUUGUCUUCUUUCUCUCGGUGUGUGAGGAUUUGUUGAGAUGAGAAAAAGGGUAAAGGUCAUCUGUCUCACAAUCCUGUUUUUACUCUUAUCAGAUCUUGUGUCGCAGUUUAACCUUGCGAAGGUUAGCUUAGUGAAAAUAGUUUUCACAGGCAAACGGUGACAUACAAGCUAUCUGUUGCUAGGCAACGGGGGCGGGUAAUAUGUACAUCCUUUUCAGGUCCCAGCCAGUCGACUGUAUGAACAGUCAUAUCAGGUCGUAUGGUGAGGGGAGAGAACAAGAAAGUGCUGUAGACUCAGCGUCGUCAAGAGUUAUAUCCCUUUAAAUUCAACUCGUGAAAUAUAUCUUGACGAUGUCGGGAAUCUUUGAGGAUACAGUCGGACCUCGAUAAGUCGAACUCAAAGGGACCCGAAAAAAUAAAAUAAAAUAAAAUAAAAUAAAAAUUCGACUUACGGAGUUUUUGAGUUAUGGCAAAUGGCGUAAUAGGCACAGGUUAAUCAAGGACAAUGUUUAUCCGGCUUAAUUACUGUAUUAUAACCGUUUAUUAUAUUAUUGUUUUAUACGGAUGCAUGUAGUACAGUACUGCACUAUCGAACAGUGCAAUCAAAUGAUGACUGUAACUGUUUCUGCGAUUGACAACGUUGUAAACUGAGCACGGGCACAACCACAUCGACACCAACUCUACUCAGUGCUCGUCCCGAUAAGAGACUGACAAAGUUGAAAGGAAAAUGGGGUAAAAGCGUCUUUUUUGUGACAGUUUGCAACAUAGUUUGCAACAGUUUGAGACAUAGUUGCGUCUGGCUGGUGAUGACUCGAAAUUCGACUAACGGAGGUUGGAAGCCAAAGAAACUUCGAGUUAAGGAGAUCUAAAAUACACUGGUCUUAUGGAAUUUAGCAGGGAACUAACACUUAAUUCGAUAUAGGAGGUUUUGUCGCGUGUCGCGUGCUGGCUCAGCCCGAGCUUUAGUUCUAGAGAGGAGUAAGGGGUUGCUGCGUCACUGUAAUCUGACGCAAUUUUGUUUUGUGACGUUUUUGACUGGAAAAAGAAACGAUCAGAAGGAGAGCGGUCACCAGGGAGAAAGGUUGGGCGGGAAAAGAAAUUCCGUUGGGAGAACGGAGCCAUCUUAAACUGUGAGGAAUUCCGCUGUGAGAACUGAGCCAUAUUGAACUGUGAGAAAUUCCGUUUGGAGACGAAGCCAUCUUGAACUGUGAGAAAUUCCGUUGGGAGACGAAGCCAUCUUGAACUGUGAGAAAUUCCGUUGGGAGACGAAGCCAUCUUGAACUGUGAGAAAUUCCGUUGGGAGACGAAGCCAUCUUGAACUGUGAGAAAUUCCGUUGGGAGACGAAGCCAUCUUGAACGGCUGUGAGGCAUGGGUAUGCUAUGGCAACCAGACACAGUACAAGGUGUGUGUUGUGGACUGUAAGGAGGACACCAUGACUGACAUUCACAUACAGUUUUCUUGCCAUGUAAUUAGAUUGUGUGCCAUCCCAAACGCCAUCUUGUUUGGUACACUUUCUUGGAAUAUUUGCUGCUACAGAGAAGCUGACCGCAUUCUCAUUUGGGAACAACAGUUGCAUGAUGCUGUUCUCUCACUCUGCGUAUUUGAAGAUAGUGGAACUUGGCGUGUUUUUGCUGGUCUGGCAGAUGAAACUGUAGCUGUGCUGGAGAACGUGAAUGUGAACUCAGUGUUCUACGAUGUUAUGUACAUUCCUAUUGGUCAAUCACCAGUGACGUGUCCGACUUUUGGACAGCCAGCUGUGUUGUGCUUGUGGCAACACGGUCUCUGUCAUCCAUGCCAGUACAUUAGAUGCUAUGGACAGCUUCACAGUGUCAUCCAACCUGUAUGAUCACAUUCUGACACUGCAACCUGGACUUCUGGGUGUCUGGAUCUCAGUGCAUGGAUCAUCAAUCUUAGAACUCCGGGAACCUGAGGCUUUGGUGUGCAAGAUGUUGUACAACACUCGUGCAAGUCGAUGCCCUAAUCUUCGCAAUAAUGAUGAGAUGUACUUCAACAAAGCCCGCAUUACUUGUAUCCUGCCUCUUGACUACACAGUCUGGGAUGGAACAGGAGAGGGAAACUUGAUCACAUAUGAUGUCUUCACACAUCAAGGCUCAAAGUCACCCUCAGACUGUUCCUCUUUCGUCGGUUCCUAUUCAGACAACUUUUCAGCCCUGAUGAGUGGGAAAGAGGAGAUGACCAAUCUGUCUUCUUGUGCUGAGGCUUACAAUCCUAUGGGGUGCAUCAGCUAUAUUUAGCCCAGGUAGACUCUAACACUGACCCUCUCAGACUAUCUGAGCGGAUUCUCUCCUGCAGCGAUUUCUUGACAAGCAGUGGCAAUGAGUCAGUGAUCCAAGGAGGACAAGAUUCCAUCAGCAUGUUUUUUACCCAGCCGACUAAUAAGUCAAAUAUCAGCAAGAACAAUUUAUUGCAAGAAACAAGUGGACUUGCUCCUUCAAUUAAUGAAGAUGAUAUUGAAGGCAUAACUCCUACUCCAAGUUUUUGUUGUGACAACAUUGUUGAAGCCAAAUCAAAAAACAAAGACUCAGAGAGAUAAGAUGAGAACUUUGAAGGAAGCAGACCCUCAGAAACUGAGGAAGACGAUGAUUCUGGCGAAGUCAAGAAAUCAAAGGUCAGUGUGUGUAAAAAAGCUCGUUGUCAAUGGGCCACCGUGGAAAAUGAAGGGUCUGAGUGCCGUUGGAGACGACUGAAUUGAGGUACGGUGUUUGCCGGGGAGGCUGUACACCCGCCACCCGUCCUCAUACAAACGCUGAUCUGUUGGCAGUGCAUGCUUAAUUACGACUACGACUACUCUUUCGCUUCUUUGUGGUCUUUGUGGUGAGGCAUCCUUUGUGCACAGUGGUAUGUGCACGUGUAUCUAAAACUAUGUUUAGACUUCAGGCUGCGCAAACCUUAUUAUUAAUGAAGGUCACAUCAGUUUAGAUAUAUUCAUAUCUUGAUACUUUAUGUAUAAUAUUUUCCUUAAAAAAAAAGAAACGUAUUGGUUUGACAAGCACGGUCAUCAAAGUGUUUUGCAUUUCUUGUGUGAAUAUCAUCUUUACUGCAUGCACGACCCUGUGUCUAAGGGUGGCGCUCUAUUAUCAACGUGCCGUGGCCACUACCGUCGUCCAUGGGAAUUGUAUCAUCGCAGGUCACCGCUGUGCCCACGACCAAACCUCCACAAAAGACCCGACAGUCGUACGGAAGGUUUCAUUGUCCCACAAAAAAAAAAAAAAAAAAAAAAAACCUCCUGGAAUAAUAGAUAUAAGUGGGUGGAGCCUAGCUGGGUAUAAACCACUCUGUGGUGAACGAGCAGAGUCCUCGAUGACCCACUGCGACAACAAGGGUUAACGGUUGGUGGGAGGUUAUCCUUUAACAAGAAAGCCAAUAGAACCUGUUGUCUUCUUUCAAACUGUAAUUCGGACACCCCGACUGUUUUAAGGUAUAAUUACCUAAAGAGCAGUUUGGAAUAAUGUAGGGAUUUGGCUAAAACACUUUCGGGGGAUCGGGAGGGUCUCUUGUUUUUCAUAACAUAGAAAGAAUUUUCUUUUUAUUCACAUGCUAGUCAGCCGCCGGUGUGAACUACAGUUGAUCGAAUAUGAAUGUUGAAACUGGAGCAGAUGUAAUUAUUUAAAUAAUUAAAUAAUUAUUUAAAAUUUACUUAUUAAAAUCACGACAGUUUAAAGCAUAGGGGAAAAAUACAAAAAGAUAUUGCAGACAUCUGAAAUUCGGUCCAUAUAAUAAUAAUAUGUAUAUAUUUUGGAUCGCCUUGUGAUGACAUUUUCUCAGCAGUGUCACAACACCAUCAGGCUUCGUCGUCAGGUGUGACGGCCUCACCGCUGGUCUCGCGUGAAGCAGGGCACCCGGUAUCGAAAGCGGGCCUACAACGUUCAGUUGAUUGAGCCUGCGAAGCACUAUUUGCUUUCGAACCCGAAGAGCGAGUGCGCUUACCUAGAGAGCAACUUAUGUCCUACAGACCUACACGACAAC
Long non-coding RNA from Pomacea canaliculata, 8792 nucleotides. RefSeq lists it as uncharacterized. The record is from RefSeq and is a predicted model, not a curated record. The transcript has 16 exons. Lineage: Eukaryota; Metazoa; Mollusca; Gastropoda; Architaenioglossa; Ampullariidae.